Micropterus dolomieu (smallmouth bass) is the source of this 2167-nucleotide long non-coding RNA. RefSeq lists it as uncharacterized. The transcript is spliced from 3 exons. Lineage: Eukaryota; Metazoa; Chordata; Actinopteri; Centrarchiformes; Centrarchidae. The record is from RefSeq and is a predicted model, not a curated record.
GAGCAGGAAAGAUUGCAGCUGACCCCUCCUUUCUCGUGUGUGCAAUAAAGCUUCUUCUGAUUCUGAUUCUGAUGAACAUCCUUUUGAUGCAUCAAUAAUACUGAUUUCAUUGCUACAACCACAGCUUUAUGGUUUAUCUAAUUAUAUUAACUUUAACGACAGAAAAGCAGCCAACAUUGAGGUCAGGGUCUAUGGGGUACAACUGAAAAUAAGCUUGACUCAAUCAUUUUGUAAAAGCUCUAUGCUGUUACACCUCAUGUUGGUGGACCCAAGAGCCAACACAGAACACAGCAGGCGAUGUGAAAGUGAGCAGUUUUUAUAAACAAACGUGUUGAUGAAGAGGUAUGUGGUUGGGCAGACUCGUCAUAGACGCUGGUAGUCUUACCACCAUGGGGUUAAUAACCUUGUUAAUCACAAACGGAUCCACAAAACAAGGUGCCAACUUAUGUCUGGUGCACACCGAUUUUAAAAUCUUAAUCAAUUUUAAAAACAUGGGAUACCACAGACAUAACAAACCGAUUUUAAUUACGCACAUACAGGAGGAAGGGUGAUGAAGCUGAAAUGCAGCACAGUCCAGUGACACCUUUAUCCAAAGCGACUUACAAUUGCUAUACAAGCAACAAGGGUUAAGUGUCUUGCUCAGGGACACAAUGGUGGAUGGGUAACAGUGGAGGAUUGAACCCGGAUCUCUCACACCAAAGGGCGGAGUUGUGGGCUGCACCACUGGGCGGUUCUCCCCAACUGCAGGCAAUCUGCUGCUCACACACCUGUCUCCUGUCAUCAUCAGGACUGGCUUUUAUACCCUGCCAUCUUCUCAGUUCCUUGCUGAAUUAUUAAGUCUAGUUUUGUUCUUGGAGAACCCUGCUCUGCUCUCGUGCCGCUCUGUUACGGAAGACGGCUGGAGAUUCCCCAUCGCAAACUCACUUCUCUGCCAGCCCUAUUUAACUGCCCUGCCAGGCCUCGCACUUACCUGCCACGCCACGCCACACCAGAGGAACCUUAGCCCCAGCAUCAAGCCUAUCUCACCAUAUCUUGUGUCAAACUGUGGGAAAAUCCUCCUGAGCCAUGUUCUUGUCUGCAUCUGGGUUCUGAGCCACGAGACAGUAAAGCAAAUUGUGGGCUAUUCAUUAUUUAUUUAGUUCUUUCAAUCACAGGUGGAGACCAUACAUAAAGUGAUCAAGAAAAAAGGUCCUCAAGUAUAGACGUACAAGGUGUGUGUAUGUGUUUAUAUUUAAAUGAUUAAUUAUGUUGUUGGGGAUGGAAACUUGUGAGGACAAAAAGCUGGUCCCCACAAGGAUACCUACUUUUUCUUUCUUUUUUUUUUUUUUUUUUUUUUUAACUUUUUCCAAAUAAACUACCUUGGUGUUUCUUCUGAAGUGUUCUGAAAGUUCACAGUAAGUAGGUAAGUCCAUGUUUGUCAGUAGGAAAAACAUGGACUUAGAACUUUGAUUAAAUGAUCCUAUUAAGUAGGUUGCUUAAAUGAUUCAUCGAGACUGAAACCGACCUGCUGGAUGAGAGUAUAUGGUAUAAGGGAAUCCCAAAAGGUAAAUUUUAAAUUUGUAAAUGCCCCAACGGAGUCAGACUGAUAUCAGUAGGAAGGUUAUGUAUCUGUGAGUUUGACAAAUAGCUUUUGUUUCACACUUUGAACAAGGAUUUUCAUCUUUAAUGUUUAAACCUCAACUCUUGGUUAUGAAAAGCUUUUAACUGGCGAGGCAGUAGUUAGGGAAGCCCUGUAUCUAACUGUGUUACAGUGACUGAUACUUAUUUUAUUAAAUAUCGCCUGCUAUUAAUUUUUUUUGGCCUCUGUGUCAUUUAGCUUCAGUUUGACAGAAUACUUGAACUUAUGUUUGCAUUGUGCAACACAGCCCUGUGCAAACAGAAUUACAUAAGGAUUCAAGUAAAUGAUUUAUUUAAUAGCAGCCAGCAGUACAUUUACAUUACAUUUAUUUAUUUAGCUGAUGCUUUCUGCUAUCGAUUGCUGUUCUGAAAAGUUACAGCUUAUAGGACGAAGACAAGAAACACCUACAAGCGAAAGAGGUGGCGUAAGCUAGAUAACAGUUCUGGUCUAUCUCUGAGUGACAUUUGUCAAGCUUUUAUCGUCAGUCAAUUCUGGAUUCAUUGUAGUGCAUGUAUUGACUCCUUGAAAGUAAACAAUCAUUAAUUAAGA